GUCUGCUGAUCCACAAACGUGUCCUGCGGAGUCGGGAGCGAAGUGUAGCGGUUCUGGUGAUUGGGAAGGAGAGUUCUUCCCUGAGAUCCCUCACAUUAAGUAUGAGAGACUUAAGAGCAGUAACCCACUUUCUUACAAGUGGUAUAGCGCAGAAGAGGAGAUUCUUGGCAGUAACCCACUUGCUUACAAGUGGUAUAACCCACUUGGUUCAUCUCUUCUUCUUCUUUGGUGAUGUUUAUAGUGUGUCAAUGCUACUUGUAGCUUCCCCACUCCCAUUUUUAAUGCAAGACGUGGCUCACGUCUCAACUUGACUUGAAAGGAUAAAGGCAAUCUGCAGAAGAUGUCAGAGAUGAUGGAUUCAUUUGAGAACCAGUUGUGAAUAUGGAGGUCCAAGCUGAGUUCAUGGAGAACGCCAUGGCUGGUUCAACAUCAUUGUCCA
Long non-coding RNA from Brassica napus (rape), 439 nucleotides. RefSeq lists it as uncharacterized. The record is from RefSeq and is a predicted model, not a curated record. Lineage: Eukaryota; Viridiplantae; Streptophyta; Magnoliopsida; Brassicales; Brassicaceae. The transcript has 3 exons.